RNAcentral lists this ribosomal RNA (441 nucleotides) under uncultured bacterium. Its description in RNAcentral is "partial 16S ribosomal RNA". It matches the Rfam family "Bacterial small subunit ribosomal RNA", at positions 338 to 795 of the family's 1533-position model. The record is from RNAcentral.
CCUACGGGAGGCAGCAGUGGGGGAUAUUGCACAAUGGGGGGAACCCUGAUGCAGCGACGCCGCGUGGGUGAAGGAGUGCUUCGGCAUGUAAAGCCCUAUCGGCAGGGAAGAAGCAAGACGGUACCUGACUAAGAAGCCCCGGCUAACUACGUGCCAGCAGCCGCGGUAAUACGUAGGGGGCGCGCGUUAUCCGGAUUCACUGGGUGGAAAGGGAGCGUAGACGGCCAUGCAAGCCAGGGGUGAAAGCCCGGGGCCCAACCCCGGGACUGCCCUUGGAACUGCAUGGCUGGAGUGCGGGAGGGGCAGGCGGAAUUCCUGGUGUAGCGGUGAAAUGCGUAGAUAUCAGGAGGAACACCGGCGGCGAAGGCGGCCUGCUGGACCGCGACUGACGUUGAGGCUCGAAAGCGUGGGGAGCGAACAGGAUUAGAUACCCCUGUAGUC